GUUCUACAAUAUGUGGAAGAAUGAACAGAAUAACCACAGAAUUAGAGAAAGGAAAUUAUGGAAUUUUUUUCCAUCUUAUACAAAUCUAACGGGAAAACAGAUUUAGGUGUCAUGGCAUCCGUUACGUAAUGGCUAAGUAAACCUUUCAUUAUAUAUUUUGUGUCUCUGCUGAAUUUUUUAUUUAUUUAUUUUAGUUUUCAUUUAAUGAAGUUCACUAUCAUUAAAUCAUGAGUAAACAGCAAUUAAAUAAUGCGAAAAUCAAUCAAAACGAAAGCAACACAAGAUAACAUGACUAAUUUAAUGGCAAAAUAUGGGAGAAGAUUUUGUCCAGCAGCAUAAGCUAAUGAUGUUUGGAAAUAAUAAAUCCAAAUAAAAACU
Harmonia axyridis is the source of this 378-nucleotide long non-coding RNA. RefSeq lists it as uncharacterized. Lineage: Eukaryota; Metazoa; Arthropoda; Insecta; Coleoptera; Coccinellidae. The record is from RefSeq and is a predicted model, not a curated record. The transcript is spliced from 2 exons.